Molecule: ribosomal RNA, 1011 nt
Filed under: Triticum aestivum (bread wheat)
Lineage: Eukaryota; Viridiplantae; Streptophyta; Magnoliopsida; Poales; Poaceae
Description: partial small subunit ribosomal RNA
Source: RNAcentral
AUGGGAUGGAGCACACCUAAUCCUAUAUGGUGUUAGAUAUGGAAGUUGUCUUGUCCGGCUAAAGUCAAAAAAAAAUUAUGGCGGACACUACAUGGCACUCUCCCAUGUCGGGCAACACUCACUAAUAGACAUAUGAAGGUCUCGCCCUCUUGCCCUACCUGCUCUCAGGGUGUAGAAGAUACGAAGCACUUGCUCUUCCUAUGUAGAAAAGCGAAGGAGGUUUGGAUAAGGCUAGGGUUGGAUAUGAUUAUUGAGAGAGCUUGUGAGAUUGAUCGUGCUGGAGAGGCAACAUUGGAAUACCUAUUACUCCUUCCAGAUCAAGUCCUGCGCAUUAUGGGCCACGAAAAUGUUAGAGAAGUGAUAGCUAUCUCAGUUUGGUAUCUAUGGUGGGAAAGACGGAAAUUAGUGCACCAGGAACUAACUCAAAAUGCGACUCAGAUCUCAAUCGGGAUCAUAGUUCUUACAUAUAAUUUUGUAAAUGCAUCAUCUUCAAAGGCGUCCAUGAAAAAGGGGGGUUGUCAAUGUCCUCCUAGGGGAUUUGUGAAACUCAAUGUUGACGCCUUUUUUGAUCAUGACUUGUUGGAGGGUACGAUGGGGGCAGUAUUGAGAGACGACUAAGGUAGGUUUAUUGCAGGAGGGAAUGGAAAGAUAGACCAUUGCGCAGAUGUUCUCAUGGCGGAGGCCUUAGCUCUCAAAUUUGGCCUAAAUUUAGCGCAAAUGGCAGGAUGUAAUCGCCUAAUCAUCAACUCGGACAAGCUGGAGGUGAUUGAGACCAUGCAGGACGAAGGACAGUCAGCGGGAGCGGCGGCGGCAAUCUUCGAUGACUGCUAUCACUAUGCUUGUGAUUUUAUCAUGUCUAAAUUCGAACAUUGUAAUAGAGAGGCUAAUAAAGUAGCACAUGAACUUGCUAGAUUAGCUAGAUUUUUUCCAACUUCGGAUUGGUUUGAGGAGCUUAUUAGUGAAAUUGUAACGCUUCUCACAAACGAUGUAUUGGUUAUUGCUAAUGAAUAA